Molecule: ribosomal RNA, 453 nt
Filed under: Teuvoa junipericola
Lineage: Eukaryota; Fungi; Ascomycota; Lecanoromycetes; Pertusariales; Megasporaceae
Description: eukaryotic LSU rRNA
Rfam family: Eukaryotic large subunit ribosomal RNA
Source: RNAcentral
CAGGGCGUCAUAGAGGGUGAGAAUCCCGUACGUGGCCGGCGGUCAAUCCCGUGUGAAACCCCUUCGACGAGUCGAGUUGUUUGGGAAUGCAGCUCAAAAUGGGUGGUAAAUUUCAUCUAAAGCUAAAUACCGGCCAGAGACCGAUAGCGCACAAGUAGAGUGAUCGAAAGAUGAAAAGCACUUUGGAAAGAGAGUUAAAAAGUACGUGAAAUUGUUGAAAGGGAAGCGCUUGCAACCAGACUUGCUCGCGGGUGAUCAGCCUCCCUUUGGGGGGGUGCACUCACCCGUGAUCAGGCCAGCAUCGGUUUUGGCGGGUGGAUAAAGUCCCCGGGAAUGUGGCUCCCCUCGGGGAGUGUUAUAGCCUGGGGCGCAAUGCGCCCAGCCGGGACCGAGGACCGCGCUUCGGCUAGGAUGCUGGCGUAAUGGUUGUAAGCGACNCGUCUUGAAACACGG